RNAcentral lists this unclassified non-coding RNA (290 nucleotides) under Hevea brasiliensis (rubber tree). Lineage: Eukaryota; Viridiplantae; Streptophyta; Magnoliopsida; Malpighiales; Euphorbiaceae. The record is from RNAcentral.
UGGUAAUCAUAUCAUUCUACAUUAUAACACACAAGCCAACACUACAGCAUAUAAUUCAGCAAAAAAAAGAAACCUAAUAAUGAGAGUCAUCUUUCCAACAUUGAUAAACUCUCCAUAUGAUUUCUCCAGUACACGUACAUUACAGAAAAUUCGGAGAGUGGAUAUUAAAAACUAUUACUAUAACUCAACUCAAUUCAAUUUAAUUAAAUUUUUAUCCUAAAAAUUUGAAGUCGGCUAUAUAAAUUCUAUUUCUCCACUCUAAACGAGUUUGGGUUAAAUCCUCAGAAAUG